RNAcentral lists this ribosomal RNA (1557 nucleotides) under biogas fermenter metagenome. RNAcentral's name for it is "bacterial LSU rRNA". It matches the Rfam family "Bacterial large subunit ribosomal RNA", at positions 1105 to 2460 of the family's 2925-position model. The record is from RNAcentral.
CUUAGAAGCAGCCACUCAUUUAAAGAGUGCGUAAUAGCUCACUGGUCAAGUGGUAAUGCGCCGAAAAUAAACGGGGCUUAAAUCUGAUACCGAAACUGCGGAUUUGUAGAGGCCUGUAGCGAGAGUAUGAUUAGACCUUGAUUAAGAAAUAUAUUUCCAAAAUAAUGACAAGCAAAGACAUUAAACAAACAAAGUGGAUAAGAUAUAAAUUACAAUAACACUAAGUGGAAAAGUCAUAAAAGACUUAAAAAUAACGAUUGAACUUGGUUUAAUCAUGUACUGGCUAUAGUGCCUCUACAUCUGGUAGAGGAGCGUUGUAUCAGGGAUGAAGCGAAGCUGUAAGGUAACGUGGACCGGAUACAAGCGAGAAUGCUGGCAUGAGUAGCGAAAAGGUGAGUGAGAAUCUCACCCGCCGAAAGCCCAAGGUUUCCUGAGCAAGGCUCGUCCUCUCAGGGUUAGUCGGGACCUAAGCCCAGGCCGAAAGGCGUAAGCGAUGGACAACAGGUUGAUAUUCCUGUACUAUUUUUAGCGUUUGAGAGAUGUGUUGACGCAGGAGGAUAUGUUGAGCGCACGAAAGGUUGUGUGCGUCCAAGUAUGUAGGUGGUUUCUCUAGGCAAAUCCGGAGAAGCUUAACACUGAGAUACGAUGGGGAGUGAAAAAUAAGUAGCGAAGCAAUAGACUCCACACUGCCAAGAAAAGACACUAUCGAGCAAAAAAAUACCCGUACCGCAAACCGACACAGGUAGGCGAGAAGAGAAUUCUAAGGCGCGCGGAAGAACCUUUGUUAAGGAACUAGGCAAAAUGACCCCGUAACUUCGGGAGAAGGGGUGCCAUUUGAAGUAUAUCACAAGCUGAGAAAGCUUCGAAUGGCCGCAGAGCAUAGGCCCAAGCGACUGUUUAUCAAAAACACAAGUUUCUGCUAAAUCGAAAGAUGAUGUAUAGGAGCUGACACCUGCCCGGUGCUGGAAGGUUAAGGGGAAAUGUUAGAGGCAACUCGAAGCAUAGAACUUAAGCCCCAGUAAACGGCGGCCGUAACUAUAACGGUCCUAAGGUAGCGAAAUUCCUUGUCGGGUAAGUUCCGACCCGCACGAAAGGUGUAACGAUUUGGGCACUGUCUCAACAAAGGAUCCGGUGAAAUUGUAGUAGUCGUGAAGAUGCGACUUACCCAUGGUAGGACGGAAAGACCCCGUGGAGCUUUACUGCAGGCUGACAUUGGAUUUUGGGAUUAAAUGUACAGAAUAAGUGGGAGACUAUGAAACUAGAGCGCCAGUUUUAGUUGAGUCACAAGUGGGAUACCACUCUUUUAAUUCUAAAGUUCUAACCAGGUACCUUGAAUCAGGUACUGGGACACUGUCAGUUGGGCAGUUUGACUGGGGCGGUCGCCUCCUAAAGAGUAACGGAGGCGUUCAAAGGUUCCCUCAGAAUGGUUGGAAAUCAUUCAAAGAGUGCAAAGGCAAAAGGGAGCUUAACUGCGACACCUACAAGUGGAGCAGAUAGGAAACUAGGACUUAGUGAUCCGGUGGUACCGAGUGGAAGGGCCAUCGCUCAACGGAUAAA